Non-coding RNA from Schistosoma haematobium, 45 nucleotides. Lineage: Eukaryota; Metazoa; Platyhelminthes; Trematoda; Strigeidida; Schistosomatidae. The record is from Rfam.
AUUCAGUUGACGAGUCCCCAAUAAGACGAAGCACAAGUCCUGGAU